Molecule: long non-coding RNA, 330 nt
Organism: Lycium barbarum (goji berry)
Lineage: Eukaryota; Viridiplantae; Streptophyta; Magnoliopsida; Solanales; Solanaceae
Exons: 2
Source: RefSeq, a predicted model, not a curated record
ACUCCCCAAAGAGUAAGCAGUGCUUGUAACUUGUCUCUGGGUAACUUGUCUACUCCAACUAACUUAAAGAAGGACCAGCCUUCGUCUGUGUGUGGGUCUUCGUCUAAUUAUCCGAGGUAUGGAUUUGCAUUGGAGUACAACAAAUGACGAAGAUCAAGGACAUCACAAAAUGGAGCUAGAAGUUUGACAUAGGAAAUUGUAUUUACUUUACUUAGAUUAGGAAACACUUUAUGUUGUACUCAUUUGACAUUACAUUACUUUUGUACUUUAUUUUUGGGGAAGUAGACUUUUUUUAAUUAACCAAAAGCAAUGGGAUGACAUAUUAUGACA